RNAcentral lists this long non-coding RNA (479 nucleotides) under Monodelphis domestica (gray short-tailed opossum). RNAcentral describes it as "lncRNA (ENSMODG00000014612.3)". The record is from RNAcentral. Lineage: Eukaryota; Metazoa; Chordata; Mammalia; Didelphimorphia; Didelphidae.
CAUCAUGGACAUAAUGUUGCUUAUUGCAACACAGAAACAAAUAAAAAUAGAUGUCAGGAUCUUGUGGAUAAAUAGAAACAUCAAACCAUUUGUAGGAUAAAAAUAUUCUUCAUGUCUCUUGUUAAGAUUGGCCUUCUAUGGCCUUGCUGUGACCCAUGGGCCCUCAUGUACUCUAAUGGCAUGCCCAGACCAAUCACCAGAGCUAUCAUCCAAGGGAUCAACCUUCGUGAAGAAGGGAUCCAUCAUUUCUACCAUCAUUGUUCCAGCCCACAGCCAUUAUCCAGGGAAACAACCUUUGUGGAGACAUGAAUUGUCAAAUGCUUCAGCAGGUGCUAUAGUCCUGGUUUCUUUAGCAGUCAUGGCUGAUCUUCGAAGACUGGAUGAGGAAACUGAGGUUCAGAAGAUUGAUCAUCAUCACACAGCCGAAGAGUGACCCUUUGGGAGAAGAGGCUUCAUCUCUUACAGUUUUUUGGAAAAGA